Molecule: long non-coding RNA, 322 nt
Filed under: Panicum hallii
Lineage: Eukaryota; Viridiplantae; Streptophyta; Magnoliopsida; Poales; Poaceae
Description: long non-coding RNA (PHAL_LNC000640)
Source: RNAcentral
AUAUGAUAACAAACAUUACAAACAUUACAAAUAUUACAAAUACAUGAAUCCAAAUAUUCUGUCUUCAGUCAAUGCGGCAAAUAUUACAAAUACGCAUCCAGGUCUGAUACAAUCUCAACGCAGCAAAUAUUAUAUAUGAGCAAACAACGUUCAAAUAAAAUUAUAACUAAAUGAUGCCUGAUGACGUACUAGCACUCGAUCGGCGACGUCUCCCACUCCUUGAUGCAACCGGAGGUCUUCCAUCUGUAGCAUCACCUGUAGGGCCAGCUUCAGCGGAACUGGGGCCAGCAUCAUUGGUUGGACAACGUUUAUACGUGUGUCC